AAAUGCUCUACCACUGAUCUACAACCCCAGCCCCAAGAAGUGAUUUGUUUUUAAAUGUUGCUUUCACUCUUCAUGUUUUUAUUACUUUCCUCUGACAUUUAAAGUGUCAUUUUCUAUUUCUGAAAGCAUUCUAGAGGAAAACAUAUUUUAGAAACGUACUUUGCAAAGAUCUUAGGCCAAGGGCGUCCUUCCUUACUGGGUUCACAGGCAGCUCCUCGACUCCAAAAAGCAACAGCCCUGUCCCUCUGUGCGGAAGUCUUCCUCAGUGCGUUCCUAGGCGGGACCCAGGCUCUAGGUGUUACCCAGGCUCUAGGUGUUGUGGGGACUCAAACUCUUUCUCCAGUUGGGGGCUCAUUUUUAACCCUCUGGGUGUCCCCUGCCGCUCUGCUCACCUGUUUUCUCUCCUUGGCUGCCCCACUGUGUGGAGAGCACCCUACUGUGUGCAGAGCACACUCCUGCUGAGACAUGCACAGCCCCCAGCUGGAAGGAAGAUCCUGGCAGGUGAACUAACAGGCUCCUCUACCCACAGUGACAAGAGGUGUUCACAGGCAGGAAGGAGAGUCCAUCCUCCAUGUCCACGAAGGGCAACGGAGAGUCCAUCCUCCAUAUCUGUGGUUCCACCUCCAUGGAUUCAAACAACCCGUGAUCAAAAAUAUUCAGAAAAAGAAAACCACAUCUGAACAAGUACAUACUUCCUUAUCAUUAUACCUAAACAAUGCCGUAAGAGAGCCAUUUCCAUAACAUUUAUAUUGUGUUAGGUAUUACAAAUAACUAAAAAUGAUUUUAAAU
This 789-nucleotide long non-coding RNA is filed under the name Marmota monax (woodchuck). The record is from RNAcentral. Lineage: Eukaryota; Metazoa; Chordata; Mammalia; Rodentia; Sciuridae.